GAUGAACGCUGGCGGCGUGCCUAAUACAUGCAAGUCGAGCGAACGGACGAGAAGCUUGCUUCUCUGAUGUUAGCGGCGGACGGGUGAGUAACACGUGGAUAACCUACCUAUAAGACUGGGAUAACUUCGGGAAACCGGAGCUAAUACCGGAUAAUAUUUUGAACCGCAUGGUUCAAAAGUGAAAGACGGUCUUGCUGUCACUUAUAGAUGGAUCCGCGCUGCAUUAGCUAGUUGGUAAGGUAACGGCUUACCAAGGCAACGAUGCAUAGCCGACCUGAGAGGGUGAUCGGCCACACUGGAACUGAGACACGGUCCAGACUCCUACGGGAGGCAGCAGUAGGGAACCUUCCGCAAUGGGCGAAAGCCUGACGGAGCAACGCCGCGUGAGUGAUGAAGGUCUUCGGAUCGUAAAACUCUGUUAUUAGGGAAGAACAUAUGUGUAAGUAACUGUGCACAUCUUGACGGUACCUAAUCAGAAAGCCACGGCUAACUACGUGCCAGCAGCCGCGGUAAUACGUAGGUGGCAAGCGUUAUCCGGAAUUAUUGGGUGUAAAGCGCGCGUAGGCGGUUUUUUAAGUCUGAUGUGAAAGCCCACGGCUCAACCGUGGAGGGUCAUUGGAAACUGGAAAACUUGAGUGCAGAAGAGGAAAGUGGAAUUCCAUGUGUAGCGGUGAAAUGCGCAGAGAUAUGGAGGAACACCAGUGGCGAAGGCGACUUUCUGGUCUGUAACUGACGCUGAUGUGCGAAAGCGUGGGGAUCAAACAGGAUUAGAUACCCUGGUAGUCCACGCCGUAAACGAUGAGUGCUAAGUGUUAGGGGGUUUCCGCCCCUUAGUGCUGCAGCUAACGCAUUAAGCACUCCGCCUGGGGAGUACGACCGCAAGGUUGAAACUCAAAGGAAUUGACGGGGACCCGCACAAGCGGUGGAGCAUGUGGUUUAAUUCGAAGCAACGCGAAGAACCUUACCAAAUCUUGACAUCCUUUGACAACUCUAGAGAUAGAGCCUUCCCCUUCGGGGGACAAAGUGACAGGUGGUGCAUGGUUGUCGUCAGCUCGUGUCGUGAGAUGUUGGGUUAAGUCCCGCAACGAGCGCAACCCUUAAGCUUAGUUGCCAUCAUUAAGUUGGGCACUCUAAGUUGACUGCCGGUGACAAACCGGAGGAAGGUGGGGAUGACGUCAAAUCAUCAUGCCCCUUAUGAUUUGGGCUACACACGUGCUACAAUGGACAAUACAAAGGGCAGCGAAACCGCGAGGUCAAGCAAAUCCCAUAAAGUUGUUCUCAGUUCGGAUUGUAGUCUGCAACUCGACUACAUGAAGCUGGAAUCGCUAGUAAUCGUAGAUCAGCAUGCUACGGUGAAUACGUUCCCGGGUCU
RNAcentral lists this ribosomal RNA (1372 nucleotides) under uncultured bacterium. RNAcentral's name for it is "bacterial SSU rRNA". It matches the Rfam family "Bacterial small subunit ribosomal RNA", at positions 28 to 1381 of the family's 1533-position model. The record is from RNAcentral.